UACGUAGGUGGCAAGCGUUGUCCGGAAUUACUGGGCGUAAAGGGCGUGUAGGCGGCUUUUUAAGUCAGAUGUGAAAGAUCAGGGCUUAACCCUGGAACUGCAUUUGAGACUGGAAGGCUUGAGGACCGGAGAGGGCAGUGGAAUUCCCAGUGUAGCGGUGAAAUGCGUAGAUAUUGGGAGGAACACCAGUGGCGAAGGCGACUGCCUGGACGGCACCUGACGCUGAGGCGCGAAAGCUAGGGGAGCAAACGGG
Molecule: ribosomal RNA, 253 nt
Filed under: uncultured bacterium
Lineage: Bacteria
Description: partial 16S ribosomal RNA
Rfam family: Bacterial small subunit ribosomal RNA
Source: RNAcentral